AGAGUUGAUCAUGGCUCAGAUUGAACGCUGGCGGCAGGCUUAACACAUGCAAGUCGAACGGUAACGGAUAGGAAGCUUGCUUCUUAUGCCGACGAGUGGCGGACGGGUGAGUAAUGCUUGGGAAUCUGGCUUAUGGAGGGGGAUAACGACGGGAAACUGUCGCUAAUACCGCGUAAUGUCUACGGACUAAAGGAUGGGACUUUCGAGCCAUUCGCCAUAAGAUGAGCCCAAGUGGGAUUAGGUAGUUGGUGAGGUAAAGGCUUACCAAGCCGUCGAUCUCUAGCUGGUCUGAGAGGAUGACCAGCCACACCGGGACUGAGACACGGCCCGGACUCCUACGGGAGGCAGCAGUGGGGAAUAUUGCACAAUGGGGGGAACCCUGAUGCAGCCAUGCCGCGUGAAAAUGAAGAAGGCCUUCGGGUUGUAAAGUUCUUUCGGUGGCGAGGAAGGCGGGUAUUUUAAUAGAAUGCCUGAUUGACGUUAAUCACAGAAGAAGCACCGGCUAACUCCGUGCCAGCCGCAGC
This 524-nucleotide ribosomal RNA is filed under the name uncultured bacterium. RNAcentral's name for it is "bacterial SSU rRNA". It matches the Rfam family "Bacterial small subunit ribosomal RNA", at positions 8 to 518 of the family's 1533-position model. The record is from RNAcentral.